This is a long non-coding RNA of Diceros bicornis minor, 3691 nucleotides long. RefSeq lists it as uncharacterized. The record is from RefSeq and is a predicted model, not a curated record. The transcript has 3 exons. Lineage: Eukaryota; Metazoa; Chordata; Mammalia; Perissodactyla; Rhinocerotidae.
GAUUUCCUUGUCACUGGUUUGUCGGCCGAGUGCGUGACCGUGGGUCCGCCGGCCCUCGCGUGACCCAGCCCGGCGCCUGCACCUGCACCUGCACCCUGAGCCCUGCAUCUCCACCCGCCCGCCCGCCCCGGCGAAAUCCUCUGCUGUCUCUUUUGUGUUAGGUUGACACACAGAAUUGUCGAGAUUAGACCAGUUUUUAUCUACUAAAAGAGUUUGAAGCUGUACCAAGCUGUACUUACGGAAGUGUGACCAGCCAUGGCGAGCCCUCUACUCACUCUGUGAUCGCGUCUAGUGUUUCCAUCAACAGCGAUGCCAGGAGGAUAUGCUAAAUUUCCGUUCUGCUCUCUUCUAACACUAUUCUUGCCAUGCUCUUCAUAAGUUAAAGCUUACCAAAAAGACACACCACAUAUCUUCUGUAAUUAACCAUUGUUAAUUACUUUUCUCAUUUGUGUGAAUUUAGAGAAUUUUAAAAAUUUAAACUACUUGUUUGCAGACAUGAUCUUCAUGUCAUCUAAUUCUCUUCAUAGCCUUGCUCUCUAAAAUAGUAGCCACUAACAUCUUUCCUUACAAGCAACCUAAAUUCACAAAUGAUUUAAAAAUAGUUGAAAAUGUGACUAACUUAACAACCCUAACAGACACCCUGGUGUACAGGAUAUAAUUUCAUUCAUAGCAUUUUCCUAAGUAUUCUCUUAAUUCGUUAGGUUAACAGAUCUGUGAUGCAGACAGAAAGUGUUAUAGGCUGAAUUGCGUUCCCCUAAUAUUGAUAUGUUGAAGUCCUAAGCCCCAGUACCUCAGAAUGUGACUGUAUUUGCAGAUAGGGUCUUCAAAGAGGUCAUUAAGGUAAAAUGAGGUCAUAUGAGUGGAUCCUAAUCCAAUGUGACUGGGUUCCUUAGAAGAAGAGGAGAUUAAGACACAGAGGGAAGACAAUGUGAAAACACAGGCAAAGCCAAGGAGAGAGGCCUCAGGAGAAACCAGCCCUGCCGACACCUUGGUCUCGGACUUCUAGGCUCCAGAACUGACAUUUCUGUUGUUUAGGCCCCCCAGUCUGCAGUACUGUACAUUUUUAUGGCAGCCCUCACAAACGAAUAUAGGAAGCUAUAUUGUUCCUAAUACUAUGAAUAAACUAUUUUAAACAUGAAGCCACAUAGUUCACCCAGUGCUUCUUAGGGAUGAAUUUCCCCUAAAUUAUAUUCAGGGCUUUCUUGCUGGAAAAAGGGAUAGGUUCUGCUCUACCCUUCCUAUUUUAAAUAAGUGAAUGUUUAAAUAGGUGAAUAAAAUAAUAAUCAGUAGCAAUAAAGGAAGAGAAUACUAAAAGGUCUUUGGGGUAGGAAGUAAGGGGAAGGAAGACAAGGAGAGCAGUAAGGAAAAAACAUAAUUUUUAUUGAAUCACCAAACAUAAUUUUAAACCACUCACUUUCCCACUGAAAUCCUUCUUGUUGUACAUGGAUUUUGGCCAGAAUUGUUGGUAACAGUAUAUCCACAAUAUCUUAAGUACUUAUUAUUUUGUUAUCAAAAGUGGUGUUAAGUUACUCUCUCUGUAAAACUACAAUUGCCCAGCUGGUCUGUAAUUCCCUGGGAGGGAAGUGCGGCAGGUACACCAUCCACAGUCAGUGAGCAUGAACAGAGAGGAUUUAUGGCUUAAGAAGAAUUUGCAGAAUGCUAAUGAAAAGAGAAAGUGGAAAUGCUAUUCACACGAUUUAGUUGCACAGCUCCCCUAGCCGUUUAAAAACUAGCCCCUGCAUUUCCUGUAAGCUGCUGUGAUUCGCUUCACAUAUGUCUUCUGCAUACAAUGUUCACGCACUUCUCUGUGUGCUCUCUGAGCGUCCGCGCGCCCUACCUGAAAUGGGGACAAUACAUGUACCCACGUCAGUGUAAGGGUGGAUGGGAUAAUCAGCACACUGUCCGGCAUGCAGUUAAGGCUCACUGAGGUUGGUUCUCCUGGGGCCCUGACAGUGCCUUCACCUCUGAAGGCUGGACCUCUCCCUGCCCUUCCCUCAGCCCUGCAGCCUGACCUGCCUCUCCAAAACUGGACUGUGAGCCCGGCCGGGAGAGUGACGUGUUCCUCUGUUCAGCCUUUGUGCCUGGUGUGACGAAUGAGGAAGCUUGCCCAUCUUCAGUGUUACCCGCGUCCUUCCUCUCCAGGUGCACGUGUACCAUGAUUUUCCUGGAGAGGAGAUGAAGGGAGGGAGGCCCCUAAAAAUCUACACAUCAGUGGAAGGCCGAAUCUCAAAAGUAACAAAAUCCAAUUCCCAAAACUUCUUAUUCGGAGAAAGUGGUGCCAGCACUGGAACAAAUGUCUGGUUUAGUGCCCAAACUGGAAACAGGCCAGGCGUCCUUCAGCAAGAGGAGGGCGGGAAACCGUGGUGUACUGCAAGACAGUAGACUACUGCUCGGCAACGAAAAGGAGUAAGCGAGGAUACACCCCGCAGCAUGACGAUUCUCAAAGCAGCGGCCAGACACAGAAGAGUACCUGCGGAAUCACUGCGUGCAUCUGACGUUCUAGAAAGGCGCGAGGAGCCCGUGGUGAGGAGACCAGAACAGAGGGCGCGCCUGGCUGGGAGCGACGUGAGCAGUUCUUCUGGGGCGGGAAUGUUCUGGAACUUGACCGGAGUGGUGGUUACUGCCGCGGAUGCAUUUGUCAAAACUGAACUGCGCAUGUCACUCCAGGUGAGCGCUAUCUCAGCAGACCAAACGAGAAAAAAGAAUCCAGUAUCUCGGGAGGUAAAGACGUGGUGAGGGCCACGUGGUCCGGGUUGUGCCGUGGCUGUGCGGUCAGGUCACGGGAUGCCUUGUUCGGACGACAGCAGCGAGGGGGAGUUCAGGAUGUGAAGAAAGAGGCACAGAAGAGAAAGCGGCUCAAGAGCAGCGUUCGCCUUAGGAGAUGAGUGUGCUCUCACCGGGAGCCUGGCCGGGACGGUGUCUGACUUGCUGUGAGCCGGGCGCGGCCGAGGUGCCCGGUGCUUCCUCCCUUUAUUCCGCGGGAGGCAGCGCGGGGACCACCGGGGCCCUGCCCAGAUCUGGGUGGGCCUGGGGAAGUCGUCGACCUUUCUUUCUUUCUUUUUAAUUGUAAUAAUGCGUGAAAAAAGCUUUUACUUCUGUGCUCUAAACACCCUUUAAAAACAUUUUUGUGCGAGGUGCCAUUGGUGACUUGUGUUCCUCCUGCGGCAGAGCGAGGGAGCUGGCACGGGGGGCUCGGCGCGCCCUCGGGCCCUAACAUUCGCCCUCUGAGGUUGUCCGGGCUGUGAACUUGGCGCCUGCGUAGUAACGUGCGUAGUCAAUAAAAUCGGAAACAAGAACGUGUGUUUGGAAGGUAAAGGAUAAGCCAGUUGCCUCGACAGAGCGGACACAGGGCUGUGCCUUCCUGCUGCAGCUCCGCGCGCUGGGCCCUUCUGCAGGGGAUGAAGCUACCCUCCCAGUCUCAGGAACCAUCCCGUUUUAGGAAGGACGUUGAAAGGAUGUCUGCCUUCCUUUAGGCAGGAACACAAAGCAAACCAGAUAUAAGUCAAUUUUUAUUCUGAUAUUAAAAAUAAUAAUACAUAGUUUUUGUAGAAAAUUUCAAAAUGCAAGAAAAUGUAAAGGAGGAAAUAAUAAUCACCUUAUUUUUUCCACCGAGAGGUAAUUUGUAAUAUUUCUGUAUGUAUCCGUCCAGUCUUUUUUUAUAUAUCUAUGAUAUUUUUAAUUUUUAUAAAUA